GGGCAGGAGGAGGUUCUGGUGGAGCUGCAGGAGGGUCUGGCGGAGCUGGUAGUGGUGGAGCUUCUGGAGGAGGAGGAGGAGGAGGAGGAGCUGCUGGAGGAACUGGAAGCGGAGGAGCAGGUGGCGGUACCUCAGGGGGAGCAGCUGACGGUGGUACCUCAGGAGUAGUAGCCAGUGGAAUAUGCGCACGUACUUGGAAGUGCUCCAGGAAAGGAGGUGAAUGCCGAGAUACCUUCUUUAACGACUGCAGAAGGACUCUGAAUAAAUGUGGAAGGGGAACAUCAUGCAAAUGUUGCAUCUUAGCAGCAAAUCAAGGAGGGUGCAGGCAGAAAAAACGUUGCUUUCAAGCCGGAGGUACAUGCAGGAAUCAGUGCAAUGUAGGCGAAUCUCAACAGGGACGAUGCAAAAGAGGCUGCGUGUGUUGCGUGCCAACAGUAGGAUCUGGAGG
Macrobrachium nipponense is the source of this 448-nucleotide long non-coding RNA. RefSeq lists it as uncharacterized. The transcript is spliced from 3 exons. NCBI's taxonomy places the organism in Eukaryota, Metazoa, Arthropoda, Malacostraca, Decapoda, Palaemonidae. The record is from RefSeq and is a predicted model, not a curated record.